AUGUCAAAGAAAGGCACCAACGGUGAGGAGAGCAUGGUCGUGUCGGCGCAGAUGAGAAAGGCCAAGCGAGGCCCUCCCCGAAAGCGCAACCCGUGCCCCGGAAUCCGCCGUGUCGGCGGCCGGAUCUAUGACCCGGAGAACGGGAAGACCUGCCACCAGUGUCGCCAGAAGACAACGGACUUCGCGGUGGCUUGCACCCAACCUCGGAAGAAGGGGCUUUGUCCAAUCCACUUCUGCCACAACUGCUUGUCCAACAGGUAUGGUGAGGAUGUCAAGGACAUGACCAAGGAGGCGGGCUGGACCUGCCCCAAAUGCAGGGGCAUCUGCAACUGCAGCUUGUGCAGAAAGAAGAAAGGGGAGACCCCUACUGGAACACUGGCCCGUGCCGCCAAGGUGUUAGGGCACUCAUCCGUCCAUGAUCUGCUGAUAAAUAGCUCCGAAAUGGUGGCUGCUGCACAGACGUUGUCUUCAUUCCCUAAGAAGAUCAAGAAGGUAUAA
Molecule: ribosomal RNA, 498 nt
Filed under: Triticum aestivum (bread wheat)
Lineage: Eukaryota; Viridiplantae; Streptophyta; Magnoliopsida; Poales; Poaceae
Description: partial small subunit ribosomal RNA
Source: RNAcentral